Molecule: ribosomal RNA, 141 nt
Filed under: uncultured eukaryote
Lineage: Eukaryota
Description: partial 18S ribosomal RNA
Rfam family: Eukaryotic small subunit ribosomal RNA
Source: RNAcentral
UGGUGGUGUGAAUUGUCUGGUUAAUUCCGUUAACGAACGAGACCUCGACCUGCUAAAUAGUGCGUGUUUGUCCUCGGGCAAGCAUUGCACUUCUUAGAGGGACUAUCGGUGUUUAGCCGAAGGAAGUUCGAGGCAAUAACA